UGUGUUAUAGUUGUUUCAUUGCGCAAUGGCGCAGUUUUUCUCGCUGAAUUUGCGCUCGCGUCGCAAUACUCGCGCAAGCACAAUUGUUUGUUGCUGCAGCAACCGGGAGCGGCGCACUGCAUUGUGAGACAGCUAUUUCUUUAAAUUUGUUGUUGUCAGGCGCAAAGCCACGCAACAACUUCCGAGGGGAGUGCGGAAAGUAACACGCAUUUGUCUUUAGCGUGUGCUCUGUCUCAUUCAUUGCGAAAAAAAAAAAAAAAAAACACUCGCAUGUGCUGCUCACCGUCGCCGCUGUUGUUUCAGCGGGGCGCGAACAGCCCCGAGCGUCCGUGAAAAAGGCGUUGUUUCCCUGCAGCGUCGUUGCUUUUGCCGCACGCAAAUUCUGUCUGCGGACGUUUGUGGAACCGUCGAACCGAUGAGGCGCAGGUAUGCCGUCCGAACCACGCUGUCAGCCUAGCGCGACCAAUUCCCGCAGCGCGGCCUACGAAGAAUAUCUGCGCAAGCUGAAAACCUGGGAGACCAGCGUCAAGAUGAAAGACGCCCAACUUCGCGCCCUGAAGUCCAAGCUCCAGCCAGCCACGGAGCCCACGCCCGUGAAGAGACUCGCGUCAUCGGAAAAUGAAAAUACGCCGUGUCCUGAGGAUGAAGGGUUGAGAGGUUCAGAGUCCACGGUUGCAUUAGAAACUGUGAUAAAUGAUGAAAGCACGUCAGAAACCAGUGGGAGCGAAGACGAGCAGUUGCAGGCUGAAUGGAAGCGGCAGCGUGCUCUUAUUGAAAAGGAAAAGGGCAACAGACUCUUCAAAGACGGCCGCUAUGAUGAAGCGAUUGAAAGCUAUGGCAUAGGCAUUGAAUGUGACCCAGUGAAUCCAGUGCUCUAUGCCAAUCGGGCCAUGGCAUUCUUGCGUAAAAACAUGCUCGGUGCUGCUGAAGAAGACUGCUGUAGGGCCCUGGAGUGGGACCCAAAAUAUGUCAAGGCCUAUCACAGGCGGGGUCUGGCUCGGCAAGGCCUCUCUAAGAGGGCGCUCGCCGCAGAGGACUUCCGCAUGGUGCUCUCCCUCGAACCAAACAACAAGGAAGCAAGGCAGCACCUGACUAAACUAGAAAAGGAAUUGAAGAGUGGAGGUGGUGACACGGUCGCAACAGAGCCUUCCUCGCUCGCCCAGUCUUCGAAUGCCAAAGAACCAGCAGCUCGAGCUGAAAAGCCGCCGAAGAAGGGCUCUGCCACUGGGAAGGCAUCCCUGCCCAUCAGAGCGGUGACCGCAGUUAAAGUGGAACCCCUGAGCAGCCCUCGAAACAGGAGAGCAGCAGAAAAACCGCUGAAGAGGGUGCCCAUUCAUGAUGUGCCAGGUGGAACACCUUUGAAGAAGAGGUGGGUGGCAGCAAGGAAGACGCACGAACCGGAGCUCCCACCACCUGCGCCGACUUCGUAUCAGUUUCAGGUUGACUGGAAGCAGCUCGCACCAUUUCCUGAGCUGCGCUACAAAUACCUCCAGCAAAUAGACCCGAGCAAAUUGGAACAUUUUUUAAAGAGUCGAUGGAGACUGAGCUCUUUUGUGACAUCUUAUGCAUCCUGGAGAACCAAUUUGUGAGGGAUGGUGUAGAUAUCCACCCCAUUUUGAGCAGCCUCCCAAAAGUGGGCCGCUUCUCAACGUUAGUCAUGUUCCUUGGAAGUGAAGACAAAAAGCGACUGGCGAGGCUACUAGCCAUUGCCUCAAAAGUCGAUCCUGGUCUCGCACUCCACUAUGGAUUGUGAUGGGAGAGGUGGAGAGUCGUUAUGUUGCUAUAAAAGCACAGAUCAUACUCAUUGUUGCCACGAGUCACUCUGAAAGCUUCAUGCAAAAUUUUUUUUGCACUGUAAAAAGAAUGCAAACUCCUCACCACAACAUUGUUGCACAUUCUUUGCUCACUGCUUUGUAGACUGUUGGUGUUUUAAAUAAAUGUGUUUUGAAAAAUCGCA
Rhipicephalus microplus (southern cattle tick) is the source of this 1957-nucleotide unclassified non-coding RNA. Lineage: Eukaryota; Metazoa; Arthropoda; Arachnida; Ixodida; Ixodidae. The record is from RefSeq and is a predicted model, not a curated record.